UGCAGCACAGACUGAAGCAUGCUGUGGAUUCUGCUGCUGAUCUGUGGGCUCUGCACGGAGAGACACACUGCUGCAGGCCAGAGAGAUGGAGAAAUUAUCAGCCAGAUCAAAACAACUAACCUGGCACUGGCUGAGAUUAAAGAGCUACUCAAACAGCAGAUUAGAGAGAUUGUUUUCUUGAAGAACACAGUGAUGGAGUGUGAAGCCUGUGG
Molecule: long non-coding RNA, 212 nt
Organism: Thalassophryne amazonica
Lineage: Eukaryota; Metazoa; Chordata; Actinopteri; Batrachoidiformes; Batrachoididae
Exons: 3
Source: RefSeq, a predicted model, not a curated record